Molecule: ribosomal RNA, 434 nt
Filed under: uncultured archaeon
Lineage: Archaea
Description: bacterial SSU rRNA
Rfam family: Archaeal small subunit ribosomal RNA
Source: RNAcentral
GGACCUGACUGCUAUCGGAUUGAUACUAAGCCAUGCGAGUCAUUGUAGCAAUACAAGGCAUACGGCUCAGUAACGCGUAGUCAACCUAACCUAUGGACGGGAAUAACCUCGGGAAACUGAGAAUAAUGCCCGAUAGAACAUUAUGCCUGGAAUGGUUUAUGUUCCAAAUGAUUUAUCGCCGUAGGAUGGGACUGCGGCCUAUCAGUUUGUUGGUGAGGUAAUGGCCCACCAAGACUAUUACAGGUACGGGCUCUGAGAGGAGUAGCCCGGAGAUGGGUACUGAGACACGGACCCAGGCCCUAUGGGGCGCAGCAGGCGAGAAAACUUUGCAAUGUGCGAAGGCACGACAAGGUUAAUCCGAGUGGUUUCUGCUAAAGAAAUCUUUUGUUAGUCCUAGAAACACUAACGAAUAAGGGGUGGGCAAGUUCUGGUGU